ACAGGUGCUGCAUGGCUGUCGUCAGCUCGUGUUGUGAAAUGUUGGGUUAAGUCCCAUAACGAGCGCAACCCUUGUCCUUAGUUGCCAUCAUUUAGCUGGGGACUCUAAGGAGACUGCCGGUGACAAACCGGAGGAAGGCGGGGACGACGUCAAGUCAUCAUGGCCCUUACGAGUAGGGCUACACACGUGCUACAAUGGCAGGUACAGAGGGUUGCGAAGCAGCGAUGUGGAGCUAAUCUCAGAAAGCCUGUCGUAGUCCGGAUUGGAGUCUGCAACUCGACUCCAUGAAGUCGGAAUCGCUAGUAAUCGUGAAUCAGAAUGUCACGGUGAAUACGUUCCCGGGCCUUGUACACACCGCCCGUCACACCAUGGGAGUGGGUUGCU
This 384-nucleotide ribosomal RNA is filed under the name uncultured Gammaproteobacteria bacterium. RNAcentral's name for it is "bacterial SSU rRNA". It matches the Rfam family "Bacterial small subunit ribosomal RNA", at positions 1034 to 1419 of the family's 1533-position model. The record is from RNAcentral. Lineage: Bacteria; Pseudomonadati; Pseudomonadota; Gammaproteobacteria.